RNAcentral lists this ribosomal RNA (301 nucleotides) under uncultured bacterium. RNAcentral describes it as "partial 16S ribosomal RNA". It matches the Rfam family "Bacterial small subunit ribosomal RNA", at positions 509 to 807 of the family's 1533-position model. The record is from RNAcentral.
CAGCAGCCGCGGUAAUACGUAGGGUGCAAGCGUUAAUCGGAAUUACUGGGCGUAAAGCGUGCGCAGGCGGUUAUAUAAGACAGAUGUGAAAUCCCCGGGCUCAACCUGGGAACUGCAUUUGUGACUGGCAGGCUAGAGUAUGGCAGAGGGGGGUGGAAUUCCGCGUGUAGCAGUGAAAUGCGUAGAUAUGCGGAGGAACACCGAUGGCGAAGGCAGCCCCCUGGGCCAAUACUGACGCUCAUGCACGAAAGCGUGGGGAGCAAACAGGAUUAGAUACCCCUGUAGUCCCUGUCUCUUAUAC